This 497-nucleotide ribosomal RNA is filed under the name uncultured bacterium. RNAcentral's name for it is "partial 16S ribosomal RNA". It matches the Rfam family "Bacterial small subunit ribosomal RNA", at positions 28 to 507 of the family's 1533-position model. The record is from RNAcentral.
GAUGAACGCUGGCGGCGUGCCUAAUACAUGCAAGUCGAGCGAACAGACGAGGAGCUUGCUCCUCUGACGUUAGCGGCGGACGGGUGAGUAACAUGUGGAUAACCUACCUAUAAGACUGGGAUAACUUCGGGAAACCGGAGCUAAUACCGGAUAAUAUAUUGAACCGCAUGGUUCAAUAGUGAAAGACGGUUUUGCUGUCACUUAUAGAUGGAUCCGCGCCGCAUUAGCUAGUUGGUAAGGUAACGGCUUACCAAGGCAACGAUGCGUAGCCGACCUGAGAGGGUGAUCGGCCACACUGGAACUGAGACACGGUCCAGACUCCUACGGGAGUCAGCAGUAGGGAAUCUUCCGCAAUGGGCGAAAGCCUGACGGACCAACGCCGCGUGAGUGAUGAAGGUCUUCGGAUCGUAAAACUCUGUUAUUAGGGAAGAACAAAUGUGUAAGUAACUAUGCACGUCUUGACGGUACCUAAUCAGAAAGCCACGGCUAACUACGUG